CGGAGGCCUGAGGGGACUGGGCGGCGUUGGUCACGUGACCCCAGGCCCCUCCCACUCGCCCUUCCUAAGGCUCCAGGCUGGAAAUAAGGGAGCUCUCUCUCCGAAGUGCUAGUGCUGCGUUGUCACAGCAACCCUUUGAGAGUGGAAGCACGAUGAAUAAUAAACUCCUUUUUCUACAGAAGAGGAAACCGAGGCCUGAGCCUUGGAUGGGAAUCAAAGACCACACUCUUCUAGAGGCACUGAAGAACGAAGUAACAAGGACAAUGAAAACUUUAAUCAGAAUAAUAGCAAAAGGUGCUGUAUUGAAGUCUGCACCAAGUACCGUGGGAUUGCCCUUCGUGAGAAUCCAGAGAACUUCUAGGAGAACAUGAUGUUUGAGUUGCGUCUUGAGGAUGAGGAGUUCAAAGAUAAAGAAAAGCAUACGUAGAGGUAAUUCCAUUUCAUUGCACAAAGAUAGGAAGGAGCAUGUAGUGUUUGAGGAACUGCAAGAAUUUGUGUGUGGCACAUGAUGGCAUG
Herpailurus yagouaroundi (jaguarundi) is the source of this 516-nucleotide long non-coding RNA. RefSeq lists it as uncharacterized. The record is from RefSeq and is a predicted model, not a curated record. The transcript is spliced from 3 exons. Lineage: Eukaryota; Metazoa; Chordata; Mammalia; Carnivora; Felidae.